Molecule: long non-coding RNA, 3290 nt
Filed under: Macaca nemestrina (pig-tailed macaque)
Lineage: Eukaryota; Metazoa; Chordata; Mammalia; Primates; Cercopithecidae
Description: lncRNA (ENSMNEG00000045601.1)
Source: RNAcentral
GCGCACUUGCUUAAAUGAACAGGUGGUGGGAAUCUGGUUUUUAGCUGAGCCUCCAACCCUGCCUCCUGUGUCCUUAUUAUCUUCCUAUCGAGGAAAGAAGAGGAUGCAACAGAUCUCCCCGUUAAUCCCAAAUCCUUGUCAGGCCGCUGCAGCAAGCACUCCUGGGGCUGCCGAUGGCUUCCUACGACUGGUUCCCGGAGAACAGCAGUUUGGCAGCAGUUGCACCUGGAAUAGUCAGUGCAUGCUCAAUAGUUGGGCAGGGGGCUUUUCCUCCAAAGGUCAGCAUGUCAGCACACGACAGGGUCAAAGGGAUUACAGCAGGCGUUUCCUAGCAACGACACAGGAGACAUCUAGAGGAUAGAAAGUAAAAAACUGCCUAGAUGCCUGUGCUUCGUGUCAGUUUUCAGAUAAGAAAAGAGAGUGCUGUUAAGGCUCUAUUUAUAAUACGUCCUUGAAAGUCAAGUGCCAUCUUUGAGCUAAAACACUGGUAGGUAAGGAGAGGAGACACAAGGCAAGGUCACCCUUAGGGAGAAUGAGAGCCCUCAAUGCCCAAGUGUGGGCACACAGGCGCUCCCAUGCAGGCUCGCACACGCACGCACACACAACAUUCCAGGUCCAAACGAACAAGAGAAAAGACACACAGGUCCAGGGAAAGAAGAGGAAAUGCCUAUAAUGUGAUAGAAACUCAAUACAUGUUUGGUAAAAAAAAAAAAAAAAAAAAGACAAAGAAGGGGAGGGGAUUUCAGGGAGGGAGGAAUUCAGAGGGACUGCAAAUUUAGUAAGGAAAGCACUGAAGUUGGAGUCAGGGGAUCUGGAUUUGAAGCCUGGCUCUACUUUUCUUAGAAAUUUGAGCUUGGACAAGUUCCUUUCCUCUCUGAAUUUUGGUUUCUUCCUCCCUUGAGUGGGUGUAAGAUUUCCUUCCCAACUAAUCUCAUAAGAUUGCUGUAAAAAUCAAAUGAAAUAAUGGCUAUGGAAGUACUUUGUAAACUGAAACUACUAUAAACAAAUGAGGUACUCAGUGUCGUAGCUAGCAUUUUUUAGGAUGCUGUUUGCCAGCAACUAUGACAUGCUCUGCAUACAUUGAAGUAUUUAACCUCACAACAGUCUUGCAGAUGUAAGCUGUUAUUAUUACUCUCCUACAGAUGAGGAAACAUAAAGACACAGAGUAAUUUGCUGGAGGUCACACUACUAGUAAGUGAUCAACUAGGAUUUGAACCAGGCCUACCUUAGUGCAGCAGCCAAUCCUUUUAACCACUCCACUACCUGCUAGGCCUUAAUAUGUAUUCAAUGCCUUGUCACACACACAAGUGAACAUCAAUCUGCCUUUCAGUGUUAAAAGACAUUGUAUUAGUUGCCUAGGACUGCCAUAACAGAAUACCACAGACCAAGCAGCUUAAACAACAGAAAUUUAUUUUUUCACAGUUCUGAAGGCUGCAAGUCCAAGAUCAAGGUGCCAGCAGGGUUGGUUUCUGGUGAAGUCCCUCUUCCUGGCUUGCAGAGAGCUGCUCUCUCCUUGUGACCUCCCGUGGCCUUUUUCCUGUGUAUGUACACUCCUGGUGUCUCUUUCUCUUCUUAUAAGGACACCAGUCCUAUUGGAUUAGGUCUCCACUCUUGCAAGCUCCUUAAACCUUAAUUACAUCCCUACGGCCCUAUCUCCAAAUACAGUCACAUUGGGAGUUAGGGCUUCAACACAUGAAUUUGAGGGGGACACAUUUCAUUCCAUAACAGACAAGCAAUAGAUAAAUACUCCAAAAACCAAAAAGUUUGUCUGCUUCCCCUCUCCGUUCCCCACCCCGCCCCCAGCGAAGGGUUUUUUGUUUUGUUUUGUUUUUUUUUUUUAACUCUCAUCAGGUCAACAACAGCCACUGCAGCAAAAUUUUUCAGCUCUGAGUUCUGCCCAGUUAACUGCUCUCCCAUAAGGCCAAGCAGCUCUGCUGUGAAGGAACGAAGCAGGUUUUGUGCAAAACAUUGAACAUGUUUCUGCUCUCUCCCUCCUGCUCAAGAGCAUUCUGAAGAAGUGGAAAGAUCUGUCCCAUCUUUCCCUCUUGCCAGCCAUUCCUAUUUAUAGUUUCUGAUGCUGGCGGGUCUGAAAGAGUCAAGAGUUUUAAAAUCACUUCCGUUUUUCUGCGGCAUGUUCCCUGCCCCUGCAUCGGCUUCUCCUAGGCCGUUAGAAACUUAUUGUUUCUGGUUCCCAUGUGGUAGGGGUUGGGGUCAAAGGGAGACAAAGAGAAAGAAAGAUUUGCAGCAUGCAAAAGUGUAGGUUCUUUUUUUAAAACCCUCAGAGGAAAAUAAAUUGUGGUUGUAUCCCUGUAGUGGUUUCUAUUUAGGUCUGCCCGUAACUAAGCCCUCCCAGUCUGUUCCUGGAAACCUAGAGAAAAAGUUUUAGGUUGACUUCAUCCUUGAAUCCUACUUCAGAGAGAUGCUGAUGAAUCUGAGGGCAAAGAGAGAAAGGCAAAAGGAGUUUGCUGCCUGGAUGCCAGAAGCCAGUAAAGGGUUUUGCAAUUCAUCUCCCUAUUCCUAGCGGCACACAAUAAAUUAGCAGCAUCAAUCUAUCUAACAGUAUCAGACUUCAGAACUUGUGAGUCAUAUGUUCAUGGCAUUGCUUUGUGCAAAUAGAUACUCUAAAUAUGCAUCAAUCUGGAACAUUUUAUGAGUAUUUAUCAAAAUGUUCUCUUGUCUCCCAGCACAUAUAUUAAUAACAAUAAUACUAAAUAACACCAAGUUGCAGCCAUGCACAAGACUCCAAACUCUGGAUUUAGUUUGCAAAUGUACUGAAGGCUAUUUGUAAUCAUAAAAAGAAAAAAAAAAAAAAAGCCCAGUAACAAGAAGUUCUUAUGGAAGAUAGACUAAAGCUUAUAUGUUAUAGUUUUAUAGAGGGAUGAUAGAAGAAAUAUAGAAGUAUAGUUAAACUUGAUUUAUUCCCAGUAAAAAUUCUGCAUUGGAAAGAACAGAAAUUCUUUACUUUGAGAACCUUAUCUAUGUGACUAUGAACUAAGUCAUAUCCCAUAUUUGCUCUCACUGUGCUAAUCUUACAUGUUCUAGAAAAUAAAUUAGAUAUACUCUGUAAAUUUCUCCAUUACCUGGACUUAGAUUGCCUUAUAAAUUUGAGGGGGAAACAUUUCGUAAUGUUGCCAUAGUCAACAAUGAAACUUCUGAGUGUCUGAAGAUACAGCAAGACUAACACAUAGUUGCAUUUCAAAUCAACACACAUUAAAUUAGAAAAAGCAUCUGGAGGAAUAUAACUAUAUCAAAUUGGCAGUUUUGCCUGGGGCUUGAUGCUGAGUUUAUAG